CACCGCCCGUCACACCAUGGGAGUGGGCUGCACCAGAAGUAGGUUGGCUAACCGCAAGGAAGCUGCUUACCACGGUGUGGUUCAUGACUGGGGUG
RNAcentral lists this ribosomal RNA (95 nucleotides) under uncultured bacterium. RNAcentral describes it as "partial 16S ribosomal RNA". It matches the Rfam family "Bacterial small subunit ribosomal RNA", at positions 1388 to 1482 of the family's 1533-position model. The record is from RNAcentral.